This 471-nucleotide ribosomal RNA is filed under the name uncultured bacterium. RNAcentral describes it as "SSU rRNA". It matches the Rfam family "Bacterial small subunit ribosomal RNA", at positions 26 to 518 of the family's 1533-position model. The record is from RNAcentral.
AGGACGAACGCUGGCGGCGUGCUUAACACAUGCAAGUCGAGCGGUAAGGCUCCUUCGGGAGUACACGAGCGGCGAACGGGUGAGUAACACGUGAGCAAUCUGCCCUUCACACUGGGAUACCCCCGGAAACGGGUGCUAAUACCAGAUACAACCACUUCAGACAUCUGACGGUGGUGGAAAGUUCUGGCGGUGAAGGAUGAGCUCGCGGCCUAUCAGCUAGUUGGUGAGGUAAUGGCCCACCAAGGCUUCGACGGGUAGCCGGCCUGAGAGGGUGACCGGCCACACUGGGACUGAGACACGGCCCAGACUCCUACGGGAGGCAGCAGUGGGGAAUAUUGGACAAUGGGCGAAAGCCUGAUCCAGCAACGCCGCGUGAGGGAUGACGGCCUUCGGGUUGUAAACCUCUUUCAGCAGGGACGAAGCGAAGUGACGGUACUGCAGAGAGCACCGGCAACUACGUGCAGCAGCCGC